RNAcentral lists this ribosomal RNA (257 nucleotides) under uncultured bacterium. RNAcentral describes it as "partial 16S ribosomal RNA". It matches the Rfam family "Bacterial small subunit ribosomal RNA", at positions 524 to 780 of the family's 1533-position model. The record is from RNAcentral.
UACAGAGGUCUCAACCGUUGUUCGGAUUCAUUGGGCGUAAAGGGUGCGUAGGCGGUCGUGCAAGUCGGAUGUGAAAUCUCAGGGCUCAACCCUGAAACUGCAUUCGAUACUGCGCGGCUAGAGUGCUGGAGGGGAGACUGGAAUUUACGGUGUAGCAGUGAAAUGCGUAGAUAUCGUAAGGAAGACCAGUGGCGAAGGCGAGUCUCUGGACAGCAACUGACGCUGAGGCACGAAGGCCAGGGGAGCAAACGGGAUUA